UUGAACGCUGGCGGCAGGCCUAACCCCUGCAAGUCGAGCGGAUGAAGGGAGCUUGCUCCUGGAUUCAGCGGCGGACGGGUGAGUAAUGCCUAGGAAUCUGCCUGGUAGUAGGGGAUAACGUCCGGAAACGGGCGCUAAUACCGCAUACGUCCUGAGGGAGAAAGUGGGGGAUCUUCGGACCUCACGCUAUCAGAUGAGCCUAGGUCGGAUUAGCUAGUUGGUGGGGUAAAGGCCUACCAAGGCGACGAUCCGUAACUGGUCUGAGAGGAUGAUCAGUCACACUGGAACUGAGACACGGUCCAGACUCCUACGGGAGGCAGCAGUGGGGAAUAUUGGACAAUGGGCGAAAGCCUGAUCCAGCCAUGCCGCGUGUGUGAAGAAGGUCUUCGGAUUGUAAAGCACUUUAAGUUGGGAGGAAGGGCAGUAAGUUAAUACCUUGCUGUUUUGACGUUACCAACAGAAUAAGCACCGGCUAACUUCGUG
This 483-nucleotide ribosomal RNA is filed under the name uncultured bacterium. RNAcentral's name for it is "partial 16S ribosomal RNA". It matches the Rfam family "Bacterial small subunit ribosomal RNA", at positions 30 to 507 of the family's 1533-position model. The record is from RNAcentral.